Molecule: non-coding RNA, 6046 nt
Organism: Anas platyrhynchos (mallard)
Lineage: Eukaryota; Metazoa; Chordata; Aves; Anseriformes; Anatidae
Source: RefSeq, a predicted model, not a curated record
CAGGUGUGCGCGUGCACGUGUGUGUGUGUGUGUGUGUGUGUAUGCAUGGUAUGUGCAUGUGCAUGGACUGCAUGUGUGUGCACAGUCUGUGUGUGUGUGUGUGUGCAUGGUCUAUGCUUGUGCAUGGUCUGUGUGUGUGUGUGUGUGUGCAUGGUCCAUGCGCUUGUGCAUGGUUGUGCACGGUCUGUGUGAUUACGCACAGACUGUGUGUGUGCAUGGUCUGCACGCAUGUGCAUGCAUGGGCUGCACGUGGGUUGCACAUAUGCACACAUGGUUUGCACGUGUGUGUGCAUGGUCUGUGCAUGUCUGUGCAUUGUCUGCAUGUGUGUGUGGUCUGUACAUGUGUGUGCAUGGUCUGUGUUUGUGCAUGGUCUGUGUGUGUGCACGCACACCACCAGUUCUGGGCAUCCAUGGGUGCAUCCUGUGGCACGCUGCGUGUGUGCCCUCUGCAUGUGGGUGUGUGCAUGCACACGGCCUGAGUGUGCACGGGGUGUGCGCUCAUGCCAUCUGCACGCACACGUGCACGGUCCAUGUGUGCCCGUGUGCUUCCCUCCCCACCCAGCUGCUGUGCGAGGCUGGAUCCCUCCUUGUUUCUCAGGGCACAGCGCUGCGUGUCCCCGAGCUGCACCCGGGGGGAUUUGGCUGGCGGCGGUGGGAGAAGAGGCAAGCGGAGGAAACGCUUCAUCGUGAUUAACCUCCGCGGUGCAAAACAGUUGUUAGUAGGUACAUUUAAAGUAUAAUUACCGGCGGAGUGAUUCAUGGGGGCUUUAAUAAAUGGUUAAUCAAUGGCCACGGGGGCCGGCAGUCCCGGCUGCCUGACACGCCUGGUUAGUCCCCGCCGCAGUAAACGUGAUUCAUGGGCACGGGGGCAGCCCCCGCGCAGCCGCUCACGGCCCCCCAUGAGCCUGCGAUGCGCUGGAGCCACUGCCCUGCCCUGCACUGCCCCGCACUGCUCAGCACCGCUCCGCCACCCUGCAGCCCGCAGGGCCCCCCUGCUGCAGCUGCCUCGCAGGGCUGCAGCGACGCGCCGGCUGCUCUGCUCUGACUGAUCGCCUUCCCCUGCGCUCCUCCGCACGUAAAGGCGGCGAGGGAGCCUGCUCUGCCAUGCCCACGUUUGCAUUUUAAAGGAGGGAGCCGCAUUAACGCAAAGAAACCCGAAGAAACCUGUUGGACGGGGAUGUUCAAACCGCUUUCACGGCCGGAGAGCCCCACGCAGGAUUUGCACCGGAGGCCGGAUCUCCUGGAAGAGCACCACCUCUUGCAACACCACGAGGAUUUCUGUGCGGGGACGGGGCUGCCUCUCCAUGGCACCACGGCGCUGGGCUCCCUGCAGGGAAGCAGCCAGCCACCGCCACGGCUCACCGGGCCCUGCAGCACGGGCGUCCCCAGGCCCUCGGCACAGACCCCAGGUCACCGGGGUUUGUGGAUUUACGGCACCGCUUCUCGUGAACCGGCUGGGGGGAGCGCACAUCUGUAUGUGCAGCGGGGGAGCUGGAUGCCAGUCAGGGUUAAUUCGGGAUAAAUUUACAAGAGUGCACAGCGUGACCCAAGGUACCUCUUUAUUGGCCUGCUACAGGCCUGCUAAAUACAUUGCCCGACUACUGCACAUUAAAGCCACAUGAGCUCCUAUGUUCAGAGCGGGUUUUACAGGAAGACACGGGGAUAGAAAAAGGAGGAGAGGCUGUGUCACAAAUGACAUCCAGAUGUGAAAACACUGUAAAUACAAACAUCAAAAGGCUCACCCCUCCGCAUUUUGCGAAGACGACGCUGGAGAAAGGACUUGCUGCAUUUAAACAAAUACUCCUGGUGGGAAAGCCCCGCACCCCGCUGUCCCUGCGUGCAGCACCCCCCGGCCCACUGGGAAUCGGCCGCGCAGCCCUGGAUAAGGGGCAGUGAGCCCCGGUUCAAGGGGAGGUGUUUUCCUAAGAAGACCAGAAGUUGAAAUCUAAUAACUCCAAUCUGAAAACGGCACUCUGAAAAGCACGUGUGUAAGCAUGUGAUUAUUUAGAUAAAGUCUCCAGAGCUAUGACAUACUCCUCACUAGAAUCAAUAUCAUCCAGGGAUAGCUCUUCAACCUCGCCAGCCACAUGAAAUAAGUGAAUAAACAGAUGCCUUUUGAAGCCUUGGUAUUUGCUGCCGGGGAGAUACAACUGGCAUGAGAGCCCAGGAAAGUGAAUCUGGUAAACCAGAGGUGCCUUGAAGCGGCCGGAAGAAAUGCAAAGCUGCAUCAGUGGCAGCCCUGCAAAGAGGCCGGGGCUGAUGGCCACGGGGUGCACGCAGGGUGCCAUCCCGGAGGUUUACGUGGUGAAUUUCUCAGCUCUGGAGGACAGCUGAGAAACUGGGGACAUACAAACCAAGGCGACGCACGCCGGCGGUGCACGCUUAAACUCCUCCCAGAGCAGGGCCAGGCGUCCCAGUGGCGCGACGUGAAAACGAAGCCCGGAUGGGGAGCACUUUUGUUUUCUCCUCAUGCGGAGGCGCUGACCACAAACACCUUGCGUGCAGCCGGACCGGAGCAGACGAGGGAGUGCAGGCCGAGCCUGCCUGAUCUCUUCCAGGUGCUCGCUGGGGCUGGUGGCUUCCCUCGGCUCUGACUCCGGGCUGCAGCGUCACAGCCACCGGCUGUGCGAGCGGCAUCUGCCCCACGUGGAAACCCUCCCCUGAGACACGACUGGAGCGGGCACAGCCAGCGCGUGCGAUUGCACGGAGGGCUCUUCCCCCACCCAGCGCCAGGCCACACUUCUCCUUUCCAAGCUAAAAGCUUCAAGCAUUUCGUGGCUAGCAGCCCUGACAAUGGAAGGAGAAAGCACUUAGCCGCGGUGUUGCAUAAAGAUGUCAUGGGGAAAUCAGGGUUUUACAGGGGAGAGAGGAGAAAAACACUCAGGAAGAGCUAGGAUAAACUCAGGGCUAGAUUCAGAACGAGACGCCAGCCGCCUCCUGCUCUGCGUGCCCCCACCUGGGCUUCUGCUGGGAGGAAGCUGGAGAGAAGUUUUAUUGAAUCUUUUAUUGAAUCUGUCUCUAGGCUGGUAAAUGCGCUAGGUACCCUCGCCAGGGCCUAAAAAUAGAAGGGAAGCAGCACGGGAAUUUGCAGUGAAACUGUUAAAAUAUGCUCGGAUUUGCGUUAAAAGAAUGCGCACGCUGGGAGAAGGAGCGCGGCGGGGGAGUGCGGCGCAGCAGCCUGCCUGCGAGGCACCUGGAGCUGCUGCUGCCACUGCCGACGGCCCCGGUGCGAGGAGCAGGAGCUCGGCUGCAGCUCGGCAUCAGUUCGGCAUCAGCUCGGCAUCCCUCUGCUCCCCGGCUGCCCCCAGCUCCUCUCCCGGGCCCGAAAAUGGACGCAUGCUGCGCAACGAUGUGGCUGCCGGGAUAUUGCGGUACUCGCCAAAUCUAUAGCAGCUCGAGAGCUUAAUUUUGACAUAUAAUUUUCAUUCGCUAAGCAGAAAAGGGAGGGAAAGCCUGAAACUGUCUAAACAAAAGAAUGUUUUUUUCCACUGUGCUUUCAAAUGUUCAUAAAGCGAACAGAAUACAGUUAGAGCCGGCCCUUCGCCUCGGGGCAUCCAAGGCUAUGGCUCCAAUUAAAGAGAACAAGGAUACAGGAGGUGGUACCUCCAGUCUGAUUGCUCUCGCCUGGGGCAGCGAAGCCUCAUGAAUAAACACUGUUGACUCUAACUCUCAACAAAACAAUUACACAUUUGUUUUUAGAAUACAUUUUCUUAGCCUUUCCACUUGCAAUUUUGCUACUAUAAACUAGCCAGGACAAGAAUAAAUACCUUUGUGAUUCUCUAAACAUCCUUGUAAUUGCAGCACUUCACUCAUGAAUGUGUAUUUCAACAGAAGAAAAGAUCCGCAGCGAUGUGAAGAAACGCUUCUUUGAAGUAACCUUUCGAAAUUAGAUGCAAAAUAUUUACACCUAAUUAUUAUUAUUACAAGAACUCCUGCACACACCAGCAGCUACAGGAGCACAAACCUGGUUAUCUCUGAAGGGCGCGAGCACGAGGAGACCUGUCCAUGGAUGUAUCAGCCCGAUGCUUACAUGCCGUAGGGCAAGAUCUGCGUCCUGGUCUCCUGCCAGCUGUGGUCACCAGCGUGGGGGUCCCCAGGUCCCCACGAACCAGUGCCCUGCAUGCAAGCAGCCUGCAAACAGGCAUGAGGAGGAUGCCUGCUGGGAGGUGAGGGGCAGCUGCUCCUGGAUGAAAUGAGAGGCAUGGUGAGGCUUUUGGUCCAUUUUUGGUUUUCUGCUGAUGGUGAGGUGUAAGCCAAACAGGCAGUGAAUGGAUCCGUGUGGGAGGGGGUGCACUACUGCCUGCCAGCCCAAGCACCAGCUGCUGGAGCUGCCAGGACAAAACCUGGAGCUCGUAUGAAGGCAGAAGAAAAUAGCCCCAGCUGGCCCUUACUGGCGCGGUUUUCCAGUGAGGAUGGAUGCAGAAAUCCAACAGAAUGAUGGUUUCCUUCUGAGGAUGGUGGCAGAAGAAGAGAGAUUCACACAACUUUCAAAUGUUUUUCCCAGAAAAUGAACUGAUUGCUAUGAAACUGAACAGCCAAGCACCGCCCACUGCACAAAAGACUUUGGCCAAUAAGUACACUUUUUUUUUAGAAAUGCUUCCUAGCUAAGUUAUUAUCCUCCUUCUCUCUGUUAGCUUACGAUGAGAAAGUAUCACGAGAGAAGUGAAGAGUCUGCUAACCCGGACGGAAGACUAGGGCUGGGGAUCAGGAGCGACAAAGCCACGCAUGGCAGAUACUUGUUCCACGUUCAAAGUCAGGAGACGAGCGAUGCUGCCUGCUCCUAUAUGUUAUUUAUAUAUUAUGUUAAGCAACAACGUGCAAAUGAGCUGGAGUACAAAAUAUCAGCCACGCAAGAUGUUACAGUGCAGUACUACACAGCACAACAAAGCUAAGUGACUCUCCGUAUGGGGGCCUGUAUCCUAGGAGUGUUUAUACUUGACUGUAUAAUUGGGACCACAGCCAGCUCAUCCUAAAAUAUACAGCAUGAGUAUGGUUAGGCAUCGCAUCUGUAACAUAUACAACUUUAGAUGUCAAAGCAUCUUUGUUUGAAGUCAACAGCAAUAAAAACUGCAUUUGUACGAGAGCUUAGCAUGUGGGAAUACAUAUUGCUAAACCAGGAUGUUAACACAUGGCCCUCCUUAGUUUACUGCUGCCAAAAGUAUGCCUUUCAAAAUUGAAAUGAGCAUGCCAAUAAUCUGUAGGAUAUUUUAAAACUUGGAGAAGUCUGUGGCAAUCAUCCAGUAUUGGAGAAAACUCUUUUUGGGCAAAUUUACCUUUGGUAGUAACUAGCAUAAUUCCUACUCUGAAAGAUUUGGGUCCUUUGCAAGUAUGGACAUGCUAUAUAGGUAUAAAAAAAAUCCAUGUAAGGAUACUUCUGUCACGUUUCAUUUUGCAGAACCUUGGAUACUAGUCAUUUACUGACUAAUGUAUUUAUUGAAAUGACAACAGAUGUUUCAAAUGUAUACAAACCUGUCUUUUUAAGGUCACUGUCUUGAUGUUAUUUCAUUAAGGCACUCUGAAAUUUUAUCAGAACUGUCUUAAGCUCAUGGGUUUUCUGUAAAUUCCCUUUCUGGAUAUUAAACUUUAAACAAAUAUUAUGAUUGUAUUCCAAAGGCUUGAAUGGGCUGAUGAUUUUCAAAGUGCUACUUUGGCAUCACUGUACAGCUCCAUUCUUUUAUGUAUGUUUUGUUAAAACACAAAGAAACUCUAUUUAUGAAAAGUCAGUCUUAAAUCUAUAGUUUGUGAAGCCAUAAUUUGUGGUUGCAAUUGUGGUUAAUUUAACAAAGAAAGUCUUUCGGUUCACAGUGCACCAUACUUACAAUUUUUCAUAAACUAUCAGAGCAAAAAAAAACCCCUUCAACAUGUCAGAUAUAUGAUGAUCCAGCAAUGUUGCAAUUUUCCAACUCCUAUUUUGUGGUAUACCAUAUUAUAUGCACAGGAAUGCUACAUCAUUUAUUCUGGAGCACAGCCCUGUAAUUAUUGCUGGCAAACUACUAAUUACAUACCGCCAUCAAAUCUAACAAUUUUCACAAUAAAAAAAAAAAAC